GGAUCCAAGCGUUAUCCGGAUUUAUUGGGUUUAAAGGGUGCGUAGGCGGCUUAUUAAGUCAGGGGUGAAAGACGGUGGCUCAACCAUCGCAGUGCCCUUGAUACUGAUGAGCUUGAAUGAACUAGAGGUAGGCGGAAUGUGACAAGUAGCGGUGAAAUGCAUAGAUAUGUCACAGAACACCGAUUGCGAAGGCAGCUUACUAUGGUUUUAUUGACGCUGAGGCACGAAAGCGUGGGGAUCAAACAGGAUUAGAUACCCUGGUAGUCCACGCCCUAAACGAUGAAUACUCGCUGUUAGCGAUAUACAGUUAGCGGCUAAGCGAAAGCGUUAAGUAUUCCACCUGGGGAGUACGCCCGCAAGGGUGAAACUCAAAGGAAUUGACGGGGGCCCGCACAAGCGGAGGAGCAUGUGGUUUAAUUCGAUGAUACGCGAGGAACCUUACCCGGGCUUGAAAGUUACUGAAUGAUCUAGAGAUAGGUCAGUCCGCAAGGACAGGAAACUAGGUGCUGCAUGGCUGUCGUCAGCUCGUGCUGUGAGGUGUUGGGUUAAGUCCCGCAACGAGCGCAACCCCUAUGUUUAGUUGCCAGCAUGUAAUGGUGGGGACUCUAAACAACUGCCUGUGUAAACAGAGAGGAAGGAGGGGACGACGUCAGUCAUCAUGGCCCUUACGUCCCGGGCUACACACGUGCUACAUGGAUGGGUACACAG
This 708-nucleotide ribosomal RNA is filed under the name uncultured bacterium. RNAcentral's name for it is "bacterial SSU rRNA". It matches the Rfam family "Bacterial small subunit ribosomal RNA", at positions 530 to 1244 of the family's 1533-position model. The record is from RNAcentral.